CGCACAUUGCGCCCUUCAGUAUUCUGGAGGGCAUACCUGUUCGAGCGUCAUUAUCAACCAUCAAGCUCGGCUUGCUAUUGGGCCUUGAUCGUUAAAGAUUAACCCGAAAGAUAACGACGGUGUCACGGUUGGAUACCUGAUGCAACGAGCUUUACAGCAUGCAUCUAGUUAAGAUCUGGCCCCCGUUUUAACUAUGAUAUCUCCAAAAGUUGACCUCGGAUCAGGUAGGAUUACCCGCUGAACUUAA
This 247-nucleotide unclassified non-coding RNA is filed under the name Pyrenula nitidella. Its description in RNAcentral is "partial contains 5.8S ribosomal RNA, internal transcribed spacer 2, and large subunit ribosomal RNA". Lineage: Eukaryota; Fungi; Ascomycota; Eurotiomycetes; Pyrenulales; Pyrenulaceae. The record is from RNAcentral.